RNAcentral lists this ribosomal RNA (450 nucleotides) under Megasphaera sp. oral taxon 123. RNAcentral's name for it is "bacterial SSU rRNA". It matches the Rfam family "Bacterial small subunit ribosomal RNA", at positions 28 to 445 of the family's 1533-position model. The record is from RNAcentral. Lineage: Bacteria; Bacillati; Bacillota; Negativicutes; Veillonellales; Veillonellaceae.
GACGAACGCUGGCGGCGUGCUUAACACAUGCAGGUCGAACGAGAGACGGUGAAAAGCUUGCUUUUAAUCGAAUCGAGUGGCAAACGGGUGAGUAACGCGUAAACAACCUGCCCCUGGGAUGGGGACAACAGCUGGAAACGGCUGCUAAUACCGAAUGAGCUCCACAUGCCGCAUGGCAGGUGGAGGAAAGGGUGGCCUCUGGAACAAGCUACCGCCGAGGGAGGGGUUUGCGUCUGAUUAGCUGGUUGGUGAGGUAAGGGCUCACCAAGGCGACGAUCAGUAGCCGGUCUGAGAGGAUGAACGGCCACAUUGGAACUGAGAGACGGUCCAGACUCCUACGGGAGGCAGCAGUGGGGAAUCUUCCGCAAUGGGGCGAAAGCCCUGACGGAGCAAACGCCGCGUGAGUGAAAGACGGGCCCUUUCGGGUUGUAAAAGCUCUGUUACCACGGG